UGGGGAAUUUUGGACAAUGGGCGAAAGCCUGAUCCAGCCAUGCCGCGUGCAGGAUGAAGGCCUUCGGGUUGUAAACUGCUUUUGUACGGAACGAAAAGCCUCUUUCUAAUAAAGAGGGGUCAUGACGGUACCGUAAGAAUAAGCACCGGCUAACUACGUGCCAGCAGCCGCGGUAAUACGUAGGGUGCAAGCGUUAAUCGGAAUUACUGGACGUAAAGCGUGCGCAGGCGGUUUUGUAAGACAGAGGUGAAAUCCCCGGGCUCAACCUGGGAACUGCCUUUGUGACUGCAAGGCUGGAGUGCGGCAGAGGGGGGAUGGAAUUCCGCGUGUAGCAGUGAAAUGCGUAGAUAUGCGGAGGAACACCGAUGGCGAAGGCAAUCCCCUGGGCCUGCACUGACGCUCAUGCACGAAAGCGUGGGGAGCAAACAGGAUUAGAUACCCCUGGUAGUCCACGCCCUAAAACGAUGUCAACUGGCUUGUUGGGGUCUUCACUGACUCAGUAACGAAGCUAACGCGUGAAGUUGACUGCCUGGGGAGUACGGCCGCAAGGUUGAAACUUAAAGGAAUUGAC
This 571-nucleotide ribosomal RNA is filed under the name uncultured bacterium. RNAcentral describes it as "partial 16S ribosomal RNA". It matches the Rfam family "Bacterial small subunit ribosomal RNA", at positions 355 to 914 of the family's 1533-position model. The record is from RNAcentral.